AUACGUAGGUGGCAAGCGUUGUCCGGGUUUACUGGGUGUAAAGGGCGUGUAGGCGGAGAUGCAAGUCAGGAGUGAAAUCUAGGGGCUCAACCCCUAAACUGCUUUUGAAACUGUAUCCCUUGAGUAUCGGAGGGGCAGGCGGAAUUCCUAGUGUAGCGGUGAAAUGCGUAGAUAUUAGGGGGAACACCAGUGGCGAAGGCGGCCUGCUGGACGACAACUGACGCUGAGGCGCGAAAGCGUGGGGAGCAAACAGGAUUAGAUACCCUGGUAGUCCACGCUGUAAACGAUGAAUACUAGGUGUGGGGGGACUGACCCCCUCCGUGCCGCAGUUAACACAAUAAGUAUUCCACCUGGGGAGUACGAUCGCAAGAUUGAAACUCAAAGGAAUUGACGGGG
This 396-nucleotide ribosomal RNA is filed under the name uncultured bacterium. Its description in RNAcentral is "partial 16S ribosomal RNA". It matches the Rfam family "Bacterial small subunit ribosomal RNA", at positions 523 to 918 of the family's 1533-position model. The record is from RNAcentral.